CCUCCCGUCCUCCUUCUCUCUAGUAGUGAGCUCUAGUAGGGUGUUCAUCUUCUCAAACAUUUGACAUAACCUCUGGCGUCUAAAUUGGUGAGAUAUGACUAUGGUAACAGGGUUGAAUGAUCUUUGUUGGAAGAUGGAUUUUUGUUCUACGGAUCAGUGGAGUGAACGGUUUCUGUUAAGUAUAUCUUUUUUUGAAGACGAAGGAGAGAGUGUUUUUUUUUAAUCAAUUGCUUCAGGCCCUCAUGAGAUA
Molecule: long non-coding RNA, 250 nt
Organism: Vigna radiata var. radiata (mung bean)
Lineage: Eukaryota; Viridiplantae; Streptophyta; Magnoliopsida; Fabales; Fabaceae
Exons: 3
Source: RefSeq, a predicted model, not a curated record